Long non-coding RNA from Thamnophis elegans (Western terrestrial garter snake), 965 nucleotides. RefSeq lists it as uncharacterized. The record is from RefSeq and is a predicted model, not a curated record. Lineage: Eukaryota; Metazoa; Chordata; Lepidosauria; Squamata; Natricidae. The transcript is spliced from 3 exons.
UAUUGCCCUAAUUCAUUUACUUCUCCAUCACUGUAGCUGCCUUCCAUCCCUGUCAUUUGCUUUGGCUGUGGGAUUGCAGAAGCACCAGAAAACUGCAGAGGAAAGAGAAGGAAUGACAUUCAAAUCGACAUAACUACAUCUAUUGGUUAAGGUAAUUCACUGCAGCAUACUCUAAUACUGAGAGGAAGACAAACACAAAACUGACCCAGAGGUAAAUGUCCACAGCUUUGAUGUAGGAAACUCGAGGCAUGGAGGCAUUGACACCAGUGAUGAUGGUAGACAUGGCACAGCACGGCGGUCUAUCCAGAAAGAAACCCAAGACAACAUGACCAUCAGAGUGGCAGGGAAAUAGGUCUGAAGCAAGAAGAAGAAGAUAUGUCGUCUUAAUGUGAAGUUGAUGAAGAGACGGUUGUACCAACCUGCAAGAGGAAGAGGGAGAACCAGAUCACAAUGAAGACAACCAAUGCUAAUAACUACAUAAACAACAUGGAACUCUUACAGUAUUUAUUUUCAUAAUACUGUGCUUUAGAAUUAGCACCAAAAAGGGGCACUUUUCACUUUAAUAAUGCAAACAUGCAAAUAAUAUUUAGAAUUCCUGUGAAUUCAGUUUAGAUAUUUUUUUAAAAAUUGAGCAAAACAGACAGGUUUACCCAAGUUUAAUGAAAUCAAAUAGUCUGCUGUAAAUAGAUCUGGGUUUUUUCUUUCCUAAUUUCUCCCAUCAUGAUGAAAGAGACACAAAAAGUCUCCACAUUCUCUAUUUCUGUGAAGCAAAUGUUGCGAUUGGUUUGACACUUCCUGCUGUCAAAAUACCCUCACUCACACUGGAACAGGUGGAAGGUGACAUUUUGACAAAUAGAAAUGCCCUACUCCUACUAAGUUCCAUUAACAGUUCUAUUUGUACAAGAAUGACUUCUGUUCCUUCUUCUCUCUAGCCUUUCUUUGUGAACAUUUUUAGAAUUCAUAAG